CAUUUUCCCUCUCUCUAAAAGAAGAAGUUCUUAUGCCCUAACCAAGUUCCUCCAUCUUCUCUCUAAAAUUCCAGAAAUAUGAACCGUGCAAAUUUUAAUUGAGUGCUGCCAAACCCUUCCUGGCAGAAAGGGCUUCCAUUUGAACCGAACACUUCUCAGUUUCAGUUGGUAAGUAAGUUUCCCCUUUUCCCUCCACUGUCCUAACCUAAGGCAACCAAUUUUCUGGUUGCAUGUACUUUCCACAUUUUAUUUUCCUUCCAAUUUGUUCCAGCUCUAAAAAUGUUGUUUCUAUCAUCAAAAUUGGUGAUUUAUAGGUCCUGUCUUGUUCAGCACAGUGUAAGGGUUACUGUUGGAGCGUUCCCUGAAUUUUUGGUUGUGAACUUUCCAGGUAAGGGGAGCUGAUUAUAUAAAUUAAUUUAUUUGUGUGAUAUGAUGGUAUAUUAAGUUUUGAAAUAUGUAUAUUGUUGGGCCUGUAUAUUAUGUUGUUGUGCUUAAAUAAAAAUUUUAUAUGUAUGUGUGGUGUGUAAAGUUUAUUGUGAAUGAUUAGGCAAAUAUAUAAUGUAGUAUAUAAUUUGGAUCAUUAUGGAUUAUUGUGAAAAUUGGUGCUUAGUGAAAGGUUCAUGCAAUUGCAAGUAAGGAUAUAGAUUUCAAUGUUUAAGUUAUAUUUUAGAGGUAAUCAGAAUACUGUAACAGUUUAACUUUCUUAUAAACAUCAGUACAGUAUAUAUGUAGUAUAUAUACAAUACCAAAGUACAACAGCGAUUAAAUAAAGAAUAUGAAAAUAUCUGGAUUCUUUUAUGAUGUUCAUUCGGUAUUGGGAUUGGUUCAACAAUCCUUACGUUGCUUUAUGAUGUAGUAUAUUUGGUUGUUUAAGUAGUUUAAGUCACGUAACAUAUAUUUCUCUGGUAGUUGAUGCGGGAAUUUUAUUUUAGUGCAGUAUUUAUGGUUUCUUUUUUUUAUAGCUUAUAUUAUAUUAUAUUCUCAUAUUUUAUAAAGAAGUAUUUGAAACGUUAUAUAUGUUGAUUGUGAUAUAAAGUAUAUGAUUACAAAGUGAUGAAAGUACGAUCUAAGUAGUAAACCAAGUUCCAUAAGUUCAAGAUCUCUUGGUGAGAUCUUUAGUGUUUUAAAAUGGAAGUAGGGGCUCAGCCUUGGGAGUCAUUCUGACGCUUCAAUGGUCAAUCAAACUCACUUAGAGAGGUUGAACCAUGUGGUGAGNAGUAGCAGNAGGUCCUUAGUCUUGGGGGCUCCUAGUAUGCCUCAAGGCCCGGAACGGACUAACCUCGUGAGUGUGGCAGGGUGGGGAACCCAAGUUUCAUAAGUCACCACAGGUGCAAGACUCGCCAUAGUCCGACUCUCAUUUUAAAGUCCGGACGAGUCAGUCUAGAAAUUCACAUGCUUAGGUUGUGUUCAUCAACUGUUUGAUAAAAAUUAUGAUUGUAUGUUAUAUGAUCUAAUAUGAGUUGUUUGAUUUUAUAUAAUUAGCUCACCCUUGCUUGUUUGUCUGGUUGCUUUGUAUGUUGUGUGUUUUCCUGUUGCGAUGAUCGUCCAUUUAUGGAUGUGAGCAGAGGAGAAUGACGUCUCUGGGAGAACGUUCUGGAGGAACAAGAAGACCCUGCUGCUGCCUAGACCCUAGGAAUUUUCUUCUACCAUUUACAUGUUCUGUAUUUUGAAAUACUUAGAGUUUCUUCCACGUUUUUUUUUUAAUUUUCUUAUAAUUCUGGAUUACUGUAAUCCUAGCUUAAUUACCUUGAACACUCUAACUGCUUUAUUAUAUCAUCUAUGAUGACGUCUUAAUUUUUA
This 1800-nucleotide long non-coding RNA is filed under the name Vigna radiata. Its description in RNAcentral is "long non-coding RNA (VRAD_LNC010762)". The record is from RNAcentral. Lineage: Eukaryota; Viridiplantae; Streptophyta; Magnoliopsida; Fabales; Fabaceae.